GCUGGGCGUGGUGGUGCAUGCCUGUAGUCCCAGCUACUCAGGAGGCUGAGGCAGAAGAAUCGCUUGAACCCAGGAGGCGGAGGUUGCAGUGAGCUGAGAUCCCGCCACUGCACUCCAGCCUGGGUGACAGAGCAAGACUCCGUCUCCA
Molecule: non-coding RNA, 148 nt
Filed under: Homo sapiens (human)
Lineage: Eukaryota; Metazoa; Chordata; Mammalia; Primates; Hominidae
Source: Rfam by way of RNAcentral